ACCCAGCUGACGAGUCCCAAAAUAAGACGAAACGUGCAUUCUGGAU
Molecule: non-coding RNA, 46 nt
Organism: Schistosoma rodhaini
Lineage: Eukaryota; Metazoa; Platyhelminthes; Trematoda; Strigeidida; Schistosomatidae
Source: Rfam